This 115-nucleotide microRNA precursor is filed under the name Gossypium hirsutum (cotton). Its description in RNAcentral is "MIR7502 microRNA precursor family". It matches the Rfam family "MIR7502 microRNA precursor family". Lineage: Eukaryota; Viridiplantae; Streptophyta; Magnoliopsida; Malvales; Malvaceae. The record is from Rfam by way of RNAcentral.
UGUUAAAAAUUCCAUCCAUUUAUAUUGUUAAAAAGUGGUGUGGUUGAUGAAAUAACCAGAAAAUGAUAUGUGAUGAACCAAUUGUUAACAACAAAAAUGGAUAAAAUUUUUAAUA